This is a small nuclear RNA of Ursus americanus (American black bear), 107 nucleotides long. The record is from Ensembl. NCBI's taxonomy places the organism in Eukaryota, Metazoa, Chordata, Mammalia, Carnivora, Ursidae.
GAGCUCGCUUCGGCAGCACAUAUACUAAAAUUGUAACGACACAGAGAAGAUUAGCAUGGCCCCCGCGAAAGGACAACAUGCAAAUUCGUGAAGCAUUCCAUAUUAAA